GACGAACCGUGCGAACGUUAUUCGGAAUCACUGGGCUUAAAGCGCGUGUAGGCGGAUGGGUACGUCGGUCGCUGAAAUCCCCCGGCUCAACCGGGGAACGGGCGCCGAAACGACCCGUCUGGAGGGACGUAGGGGGACCUGGAACUUCCGGUGGAGCGGUGAAAUGCGUUGAGAUCGGAAGGAACGCCCGUGGCGAAAGCGAGGUCCUGGACGUCUACUGACGCUGAGACGCGAAAGCUAGGGUAGCGAACGGGAUUAGAUACCCCGGUAGUCCUAGCCGUAAACGAUGGGCACUGGGUAGGGGGCUCGCCGAUGGGCUCUCUGCCGAAGCGAAAGCGUGAAGUGCCCCGCCUGGGGAGUAUGGUCGCAAGGCUGAA
RNAcentral lists this ribosomal RNA (377 nucleotides) under uncultured bacterium. RNAcentral describes it as "bacterial SSU rRNA". It matches the Rfam family "Bacterial small subunit ribosomal RNA", at positions 524 to 898 of the family's 1533-position model. The record is from RNAcentral.